AUUACACAGCGCAGGCUUUUUUCUUGUCAGAGGAGGAAUGCCGACGACGGUGGAAGGUCCUGAGGGACACGUACCUCAGGGUGAGACGCAGGGAGGAGGCAGGAAAGAGGAGUGGGUCAGCAGCAGGCCCGUUGAAGACUUGGAAGUACUCUGCAAUCCUGUCUUUCCUCGGCCCAUUUGUUACUCGAAGGGAGACCAGUAGCAAUAUGGUGCUGGGGGUCGAGGUAGACGGGAUUGCAGAGUACCCAGUCGAGGACCAGGGUUCAGAGGCAGCAGCAGGGACAGCGAGUGACCUAGGAGAUCUAAGCUGUGAGGAGCCGGAGGCUGCUGCUGCCUCUGAACCCAUUCCACCACCACCACCACCAACUGCUGCUGUCACCACUCCUCCUAUUGCCCCAGUGAGGACACAAAACAGAAGAAGGGAGACUGAGAUAGAGACCUUACUGCUGGAGGUGCUGAGGAAGCAGAACACACCUGUGCCUCCACCUGUCCUCUCAGAGGAUGAGCACUUUUUAAAAACAUUACUUCCUUCCCUGCAGCGAUUGCCACCCAAUGCAAAGGAACAAAUUAAAUUCCAAAUUUAUAAAUUAUUGCACGAUGCAAACUGCGUUCAUAAUCCAGUAGAGUUUAAUUUGAUCAAUCAA
Long non-coding RNA from Gadus morhua (Atlantic cod), 644 nucleotides. RefSeq lists it as uncharacterized. The record is from RefSeq and is a predicted model, not a curated record. Lineage: Eukaryota; Metazoa; Chordata; Actinopteri; Gadiformes; Gadidae. The transcript is spliced from 3 exons.